This 828-nucleotide ribosomal RNA is filed under the name Salmonella enterica. RNAcentral describes it as "partial 23S ribosomal RNA". Lineage: Bacteria; Pseudomonadati; Pseudomonadota; Gammaproteobacteria; Enterobacterales; Enterobacteriaceae. The record is from RNAcentral.
CCUAUUGUCUGAGUAGUUAAGUACGCUCGGAUAGGGGAARGGUGAUAGUACUGCACGGSCUUCGGSCCACGCAGAUAGUGYACCUAAGGACUGCCAAGAAAAGCUGCUAAACGUUGUAUYCKUAYWCGGCYCGUACCGCAAACCGACACAGGUAGUCAAGGAGAGUAUCCUGAGGCGCUCGAGUGAAUCACGGCCAAGGAACUCGGCAAAAUGGUCCUGUAACUUCGGGAGAAGGGACGCUUCCUCUAGCAAUAGAGAAGCCGCAGUGAAAAGACCCAAGCGACUGUUUAACAAAAACACAUGGCUUUGCUAACGCGUAAGCGGACGUAUAAGGCCUGACACCUGCCCGGUGCUGGAAGGUUAAGAGGGGAGCUUAGUCGCAAGGCGAAGGCUUGAAUCGAAGCCCCAGUAAACGGCGGCCGUAACUAUAACGGUCCUAAGGUAGCGAAAUUCCUUGUCGGGUAAGUUCCGACCUGCACGAAUGGUGUAACGAUUUGGGUGCUGUCUCAGCCGUGAGCUCGGUGAAAUUGUAGUCUCGGUGAAGAUGCCGAGUACCCGCCACGGGACGGAAAGACCCCGUGCACCUUUACUAUAGGUUGCCAUUGGUGGUGGGUUCAGUAUGUGUAGCAUAGGCGGGAGGCGUCGAAGCRGGGCCGCUAGGUCUYGKGGAGCCAACGUUGAAAUACCGCCCUURCUGUGCCUGMUGCCUAACUCUAAGUUUCUUAGAGAACAGUGGCUGCUGGGUAGUUUGACUGGGGUGGUCGCCUCCAAAAGMGUAUCGGAGGCUUUCAAAGGUCCACUCAAUCCGCUUGGUAACCGGAUGUAGAG